CGUCUCCCCCCUAUCCGCCUCCCUUCCUCUCCCCUUGCCAGAGAUCUGCCUCCCUCCCCUUCCUCCCUCCUCGAGCGUGACGACUAGGGUUCCUCACCGCCGCCGUUCCUCUGCGGCGCGCCCAGCCGGCCGAGGCCCCCGCCGCUCCACCGCCCACACCGACCCGACCGCCCCUCCUCCUUGAAUCCUUCCUGCCGCGCCGCCCCUGCUCGACUCCUCCCCGCACGGGCCGACCUCCUUCAGUGUCGUGCAGCAAGACACGCCCAACAACAGUACUCGACCGGCCGCCCGCUUGCCCGACCCUCUCUUCCCUCCGCCCGGCAGCAGGAGGCGCCCGCCCGCCCGGCCCUCCCUUCCAUUCGCUGAUACCUCAUCUAAGGCCUACUGAGUACAAAAAAUCAAGAUUAUCCAGGAACAGGAGAAUAGUGAACCGUCCUUAUCAUGGUGUUCUAUCUGGUCAGGCUGUUAGGGAGAGGAUCAUCCAUGCUUUCCUUGUCGAAGAGAAAAAGAUUGUGAAGAAAGUUUUGAAGAUCCAGAAGACCAAGGAGAAGCAACUAUCAGGUGCUUACACUUCUUGGUGUUGCUGAAUUGGUGUUGAAUUGGUGUUGGCAGUAAUAAGACGACUGUGCGCGUGUGUUUGACAACAUUCAUCAAUGAAGAUAAAAAGAAAAAAGAAAGGCAUUGGUUGCUGAAACAGAGCAUCUCCUCCUCUGCUUUUGCUGGACUGCAAGCUACAUAUGCUCUGUUUCAUCAAGUAACGUUCACAUAUGCGCUUCAGUUGUUCUUGAGUGAAGCUUUGCUUUGGCUGGAGAUGAUAUAUAAUGUUAUGAUACCCCUUUCUCCUGAAAUGUUGAUUAAUUUCCGUUUCGGUUAAGAAUGGGGCACUCCUAGGUCAAGAAAAUUAGCAAAGGUCAUGCCAAAUUUUCUUGACCUAGAAGGUGCCCGAUUCUCAACCGAAACAAAAAAUAAUCAACAUUUAUAGACAAUGUUAUUUCUACAAAGCAAAUAUUUCUAAGUGGCUUUUAUAGUUUUCCCUUAAGUUGAAACCAGAGAGUUGAUUACUAAUAUAGGAUAAAACUGUGAACAAUGAAGUAAAUAAAAAUCCACCUGCAAAAAAAAGAAGUAAAUAAAAAUCCAAAUCAACACAAUGCCUCUUGUGUUAUACAUAUAGAAGUGUGAUAUCAACUCAUAGUUAUUACUAAUGUCAGUUGCUCUCUUUUUGUGCCUUUUUACAACAUGAGCAAUGCAUAGUUAUUACUAAUGGUAUAAUCUAUACCUAUAUGGAGUGUGUACUAUUAGUGUAAAUUCUUCCUUGGUUAAUGAU
Long non-coding RNA from Triticum aestivum (bread wheat), 1324 nucleotides. RefSeq lists it as uncharacterized. The transcript has 4 exons. The record is from RefSeq and is a predicted model, not a curated record. Lineage: Eukaryota; Viridiplantae; Streptophyta; Magnoliopsida; Poales; Poaceae.